GACGUAGGGCGCGAGCGUUGUCCGGAUUUAUUGGGCGUAAAGAGCUCGUAGGCGGCUUGUCGCGUCGUCUGUGAAAUCCCGCGGCUCAACCGCGGGUCUGCAGUCGAUACGGGCAGGCUAGAGUUCGGUAGGGGAGACUGGAAUUCCUGGUGUAGCGGUGAAAUGCGCAGAUAUCAGGAGGAACACCAGUGGCGCAGGCGGCGUCCUGGACCGGCACUGACGCUGAGGAGCGAAAGCGUGGGGAGCGAUCCGG
This 253-nucleotide ribosomal RNA is filed under the name uncultured bacterium. RNAcentral describes it as "partial 16S ribosomal RNA". It matches the Rfam family "Bacterial small subunit ribosomal RNA", at positions 524 to 776 of the family's 1533-position model. The record is from RNAcentral.